RNAcentral lists this unclassified non-coding RNA (4235 nucleotides) under Hevea brasiliensis (rubber tree). Lineage: Eukaryota; Viridiplantae; Streptophyta; Magnoliopsida; Malpighiales; Euphorbiaceae. The record is from RNAcentral.
GGGUGCCGCUGCCGUUUUUCAUGGUUGCUCCUGUCUCCUCCACAACCAAAACCCUCAAAAUAAACCCCAAGAGUAACAACUGAAAACAGAUACAAGCAGCUCGACAUCAGCUUCAAUGGCGGCGAAGAAACAUGAGAGCAGCAACUUGAAGAACAGAAAGCGAAACCCAGAUGCCAAGACUGGCACGGAUGGCUCAGCUUCCAAAAAGCCGAAGCUUGUUAGCUCUAAUACCCAGACGGAGAGACUGAAGAAACCUUUCAAGCCCGUCAAGAAGGCUCAGAAGCCGAAUGCAUCUGAGUUGAGAAAAUCAGAAUCCGGGAAAGAGAAGCAUGCGCCCAAAACAAAGCGAGAGCGCCGACUUCAUGCCAAGGAAUUAGCAGAGGCUAGGAAGAAGAAGAGAAAGCGUCAUUACACUCUGGAGCAAGAACUCGCUUCUCUCUGGGAGAAGAUGAGGCAGCGAAAUAUUGCCAAAGAAGAAAGAUCUAAGUUAAUUAGUGAAGCUUUACAAAAGAUGAAGGGGAAGAUUCCAGAAAUUGCUAGCUCCCAUGUUUCUUCUCGAGUUUUGCAGACCUGUGUUAAGUAUUGUUCUGAAACUGAAAGAGAUGCUGUAUUUGAGGAGCUCAAGCCACAUUUUCUUAACUUUGCAUGCAACACUUAUGCAGUUCAUCUAGUAAAGAAAAUGUUAGACAAUGCUUCUAAAAAACAGCUGGCAGAGUUUAUCUUGAACCUCCAUGGGCAUGUUGCUUCUCUUCUUCGACACAUGGUUGGAUCUGUUGUUAUUGAGCAUGCAUACCAACUUGCAAAUGCAACUCAAAAGCAGGAGCUUCUUAUGGAAUUAUAUUCUACUGAGCUUCAGUUGUUCAAGGACCUUACCUUAAUGAAGGAGAGCAGAUUGCUUGAUGUGAUCUCAAAGUUGAACCUGCAGAAGGGUUCAGUCUUGCGACACAUGACUUCUGUGGUUCAACCAAUUCUAGAAAAAGGAAUAGUUGACCACUCUAUCAUACACAGGGUGCUGAUAGAGUAUUUCAGCAUUGCUGAUAAGUCUUCUGCAGCAGAAGUAAUUCAGCAAUUAUCAGGUCCACUUCUUGUUCGAAUAAUCCAUACAAGAGAUGGAUCCAGGAUUGGUAUGCUCUGUGUUAAACAUGGGAGUGCUAAGGUCUGUUGCAAGUGGUCUGAUCUUUUUAUCUAUAAAGAAAGAGAAUGCUAAUAGUUUAUUUUUGUAACCAUUUGCAAAGUGGUGUCCUUAUCUCUUUAGAUUGUAAGUUGCUAUUCCUUAUCUCUUUAGAUUGUAAGUUGCUAUUUGUUGUUUUCCUUAUAUCUAGGAAAGAAAGAAGAUUGUGAAAGGAAUGAAAGGCUACGUGGGCAAGAUAGCUCAUGAUCAAUAUGGGAGCUUGGUACUUUCCUACCUUGUUUCAACUGUUGAUGACACAAAGCUUAUUACAAAGACUGUCAUUCGCGAACUUCAAACAAUGUUAAAGGAGCUUGUUUUGGAUAAGAAUGGAAGGCGCCCAUUGCUGCAGCUCCUCCAUCCAAACUUUUCACGUUAUUUCAGUCCAGAUGAUAUAGCUGCUUUCAAUUUAUCUAUUCCCUCUCUCAAUGCCAAGAGUGAAUUGGAAGUAAAAUCUGGCACAUAUCCUUCAAAAGAUGAAAAAUCUAGUGAUGAGGACAAUAGUACCAAAGCUACAGUGGUUGGGGCCAAUGAAAGUGCAAGUUCUGAGAAUGUUCACUUCAUUGAGGGUGGAAAGAAAGAUCCUUCUCUAAGACGGCGAGAAUUGCUGGUCGACAAUUGCCUUGCUGAGAAUCUAAUCGACGUAUGUAUUGAGAAUGCAGCAGAGUUACUCAGAUCAAAUUUUGGCAAAGAAGUCUUGUAUGAGGUUGCAACUGGGGGUGCCGAUGGCAUUCUCCACCCAGUGUUGGAUGAGAAGUUGAAUUCUUUGCAUGAAGCUAUAGCAUCUCUUGCAGCAGAGCCUAAAUCUGAAGAAUCUGGAGAGGAGCAUGUCUUAGAAAAUUUCCACUCCAGUAGAACCAUUAGAAAAUUAAUUAUUGAUAACCCUACCUUUGCUACUACUUUAUGGAUGAAAGCUUUGAAAGGGAACUGUGGGUUGUGGGCCCAAGGUCACAGUUCUAAAGUAAUAUGUGCAUACUUGGAAUCUUCAUAUGCCAAAAUCAACAAACUAGCCAAUGAAGAGCUUCGGCCAUUGAUAGAUAGUGGUAUUCUCAGAAAACCUGAGAACAAGCAACCUGGAAAAGAAGGGUGAGAUGCUCAUUAAGGAUGCAAUGAUUUUUCCUUGAAGAGAUGGGCAUAGCAUCUGGUGGAUCACUGGUGAAACUAAAGCAAUUUUGUUUUUCAUCUCAGCCAAGAGUGAAAUUUCUUUCAAUGCAAAGAAAGAAUAGGGCAGAGUUCCUGCAAACUGCAAAAAUGAGACCAUUUUAUGUUAUGCAACAUUUUUGUACAACAAAAUUUCCUACAAUAUAGUUUCGUUCUGUUGCCUAUCCCUGUUUCUCUUGCACUGAAUGAGACUUCCUUAAUACUGUCCUAUUUAUAAAGUCAUAAAGGCAUCUGAACAAUAUUUGGUUCUCUAGUGAUCCUAUGCCAGUAAAUUAGAAAUGAUAGAAAAAAAAUAUGGAAAAAUUUCUCCUUGACAGAUAUCACAGAAUUCUAGUGAAACACUUUAUUCUGAUUUAUGAACCAACACAAGCAGAUUUGGUCUUAAAAAUUCUUCUGUGUGGUCUGUUCUCAAAGAUCGGUGAAUCAUAUCUUGCUGUUUCUUGGUCUUGAUUUGAUGAAUUUUGUCUCUGUGAGUACCGGACGUCCUCGGGUUUAUCGUAUACUCGGUUCCUGUUGUGAGGGUAGCCUGCAAAUAGGUAGUCGGAUGGAUCAAAAAUUGGGGAUUCUUUUCGUGACCUGCACCGAGUGUUGCUCUGGUAUAGGUGGUCAGGGGCAUUGAACAAUGGAGAUCCUUUCCUUAAUGCAGCAUUAGCCUUCAAACAGUUCUCCAUUAACUUGGCUUCUUCUUUGAAUCUUUCUCUGAUGUCUUUCAGACCUUGCAGAAUUCUGCUUGAUCUUGAGUGGUUUGCAGGAUUCAAUUCCUGGAGUUUUGAUGUAUAUACGUUGCUAGAAGAAUUGCAGCGAAUGUAUGGAACUCCAUUGCACUCAAAGCAGAAGUUUUUCCCUCUCUCCAAGUUGAAGGCUCUUCUCUUUACAUUGUCAGAGAGACACGAAUAAGCCUGCAACUAAGAUCGAUUCCCACUGAGAAAGCAAGAAAACAAUAAAAUAAAGAUGAGCAACAGAGCCAUUUGCUCAUCUUUAGUUUGAUGAAGACAACAUGAACAGCUAAAUGCAAAUUAAUCAGUCUUACCUAACCUGCGGAUAAUGUUGGUGAAAUUUGGCUGUCUAAAAGUGUUUUCUACUGUUAAAUUAAUUGCUAUGUUCCAUAUUUAUGGUCUUGUCAGGCCAGUGAAUCCUAUGCUGUACGUGCAGUCCUGGAAACGUCUCUGAUACUAAAACUCAUAUAAUCCAUUCAAUGAGUUGAACAAUGAGCUGCAUUUGCAAGACCAAUUUUUACUUCACAAGCUUCUUUCACAGGUCAUGGCAUGACUCUGUUUCUUAUGGAUGUUUUACAAUAUUAACAACAGAUACCAAGAAGUGAUUUUUCAAUUUUAUAUCCCUCAGGAAACAUAAUUCUUAAUAAAGUAAAUGCAAUAAACCAAUGUAUUAAAUACAUGAUUUUGUCUAAUGCUAUGAAAUUCUUGAACAUAACAAUGCAGGAUUUAAUUCCGAAACAAAAUCAACCCCAUUACAUGGAAAAAGGAUAGUAUCCAACCUCCAAGACAAGCUUAAAGGCAAUCUCAGCCUUGGGGUGCUCGUUCUUAUCUGGAUGAAGCUGCAAAGCAAGUUUAUGAUACCGCUUUCGUAUAACAUCCAUCUCUGCAUCUUCCUCUACUCCGAGCAGGCGAUACCAGUCGAUGAAAUGAGACUUAACAGGCCUAAAAUUAUGCCUAUGAGAACAAGAAAUGGAGCGGGUGGACAGAGAGCAAAUUUCCAACACCAACUGGGAUUUGACGGUAUCAGAUUCUUUACCCAUUUUAGAGAAAGAAAAUGGAUAGUGAACAAGAAAAAUGGAGUAUGUGGAAUUUAAAUGUGGGUGUGCGUUUUCUUGGUUUUUUAUUUCAACAAGAAUUAAGAAGGUGGAGCGGUUAAGAAAAAAGAGCAAAGUUUGCGGGAGAGAUUUUUG